ACCCCUCUUUUCACUUCUUUUUAUUCUUUUCUUAGCUCCGAGCAAGGCAAAAAGGGACACCCCGCCUCCAAGAAACGGACCACUGUCGGUUUGGACUUCGCUUGGGUGCGACAAGCGGCUGGGCAGGUGACGACGAGGCCGGUCGGUACUCCCAGGAGCGCGAGGAGGAGGAUGAUACCUAGAGACGGCGGCGGUGACGUAGGGGAGGCGGCGAGCUCUGGGAGCCGUAGGGAGGCGUUCUACUCCGCAUGAUGUCCCCGCCGCACUAGUUCACGUCCCUGCCUAGCCCGUUCAAGUGGUCCCUAGUCGAGUUGCUGCUGAAGACGCUGACAGGGCUGCCGUGGCUGCUCGGUCCCUGUAGGCGCACGGGCCUCCGCUUUAAGAUGACGUUCUUACGGCCUGUAAGAGGUUAGUGGUAGAAGAGCAGCGCUCACUUACUACCAUAUACGCUAACGACACUGCCCUCACUACUUAUGCCAUCGUUAUCGUGAACGUUCUUAUGUACGACCCUUCGACCGUUCCGCCGCUCCCUCUUCAAUUUCUUCUUUCAUCGAUGUAUAUUUUCACCACAGCAAUAAGCCUUAGUCCUUCAACUUUUCCGGUUUAACCGUUAACGAUUUCUACUUCGUCUCAAUUGUUUUGAUUUCCCACUUCUCUUCUAUGAGGUCCCCGAACAGCUGUUCGAGUUUCUCGUUUUCUCUAAUUAUCUUUUCCGUCUCCUUCUCCUCGCGGAUUAUUUUCUCUUCCUUCUUUUCUCUUAAUUUCUUCUUCGACUUUUUGUUCGCCGACUCCUUUUGUUUCGUGGACUACGGAGAGUCCUUCGUCUAAGAGUCCUGUGAUUACUCUUCCGUGUUCUUCUACUUUCGUUCCAUCAACUUGUAGUACUACCUCUAUAGUGCCUGGUACUGUUAGUGAGUGGUCUUCCGCUCUGUAGACAACUUCACGGACUGUAAUUUCGACCCUGACCUCUACUGCUUGGUGGCCACCUCUGUAGACGUUAUGGAUGGCUUCUCGUCCUGGGAUGAAGACAGUUGAGACUUCCAAACAGUUUCCGCCUUAACCCAGCAGACCAUCGAAGAGCGACCUGACCUCUUUUACAUCUACUACAACCAUUUUCGCUAUUUUUCCCGGUACUCCUACUCGACCUAUAAGGUCUUGGACGUCUUCUUCGUAAACUUCUACUCGUACUAUAUGGUCUUGGGCAUCUUCUUUUAAUACGACCGAUAGUAAGUCUUCAACUCCUACUAUCCGUGUUUAAACUUCUGCUUCUCAACAGAUUACAUAGUCUACUACUUAUACAACUACUAGUACUUCUUGGACUACACAGGAUAUUUAGACUACUGCUGGCCUUUCCACUACUGGUAAGUCUAAAUUGACGGAGUCCUGUUCGUAGUACCGACCUGUUCUAAGUCGUUUGACAUGUCUUACAAAAUGUCUUUAAGUUGAAAAAGUUCUGGGGACAACUAAAUAGUCUCCGACGAGUACAAGCCUUCCUCAUACUACUACGAUCGAGUUUCGACAGGUUUUAAGUUAGAUCCUAUUGGAGAGACUGUCUAUUCGAUUUCGUUCUGAAACCAUUCCUCUUCCUCAAGAUAAUGAAAAUACUGGUCACGAAACUCCCGUUCCUCCCGUUCAUACAAAUGUUCCAGACAGGUAUGUUCUUUCGAAGUGUCCAACUUCCUGUGUCAAGGUGAUUGGACCCCGCGACCCUGUUUAAACUUCUUAGGAUGUCCUACUACGUGAAAAGUUUACCUCUGUUUACGACCUUACCGGGACUGGCUUCGGAUUUCCAGUCCGAAUCUACACCCGACUCGUUGCUCGAAUUGCCACAACUACUCGGGUCGUCUACGCUCAUACAGCGACACGACAGUUGAGGACGUUACACACAACUUCUCUUCGACUUCCUCGACGUUGUCUUUGAGCUGCGACGCAGAAGUUUGGACAGGUCGGUGCUGCUCGAGAUUUGACAGUGCUCCUUUGUUACUGAGGUGAUAAUGUUGGUAUUGGUGUUCUUUCUUUCCGAUGGCUCCAUGUACAACCUAUCUAUCUUUUCGGACCUCGACACGCGGUUUCAUCGCAAUCAGACCAAUCCCUUUUAAAACUCGUUUUACCAGCCUACCAACUUUAAAAGUGUAGUAGGACUAAAAUCAUCGACGUUCACCUAUAGAAAAAGAAAAUCAAGGAAACUGCCUGCAAAGGAGUUUAACAAAUAGAUCCAGUAGACUUUCUCUGAUUCGGAAGACAAACAUUGAAUAGUCAAUACGUGUCGCAGAGACUCGGUUGUGUAGUAGAACUCUAACUACUUCAACAGUGUCUGCAACGGCAUCAGCUACUCUUGUAGAAGAGGGUGAUUUGUGCGUAGCGACUUUCUGGAUAUUUAGAACUUUUUACG
This 2392-nucleotide ribosomal RNA is filed under the name Triticum aestivum (bread wheat). RNAcentral's name for it is "partial small subunit ribosomal RNA". The record is from RNAcentral. Lineage: Eukaryota; Viridiplantae; Streptophyta; Magnoliopsida; Poales; Poaceae.